GUCUAUGGUCAGACCACCUUGAACGCACCCGGUCUCAUCUGAUCUUGGCAGCUAAGCAGGGUUGGGCCUGGUUAGUACUUGGAUGGGAGUCUGCCUGGGAAUACUGGUGCUGUAGGUU
RNAcentral lists this ribosomal RNA (118 nucleotides) under Carlito syrichta (Philippine tarsier). The record is from RNAcentral. Lineage: Eukaryota; Metazoa; Chordata; Mammalia; Primates; Tarsiidae.